GCUCAUAACCUGGGGAUGUAGGUUCGACUCCUGCCUCUACAAAGUAGGGUAGACUAACGGGAAGUCAUCAG
This 71-nucleotide transfer RNA is filed under the name Myriopathes ulex. RNAcentral describes it as "tRNA-Met". Lineage: Eukaryota; Metazoa; Cnidaria; Anthozoa; Antipatharia; Antipathidae. The record is from RNAcentral.